RNAcentral lists this unclassified non-coding RNA (222 nucleotides) under Hevea brasiliensis (rubber tree). Lineage: Eukaryota; Viridiplantae; Streptophyta; Magnoliopsida; Malpighiales; Euphorbiaceae. The record is from RNAcentral.
AUUUGUUCUUUGAAGCUCUUGUCGGUAUUCUCUUGCCCUCGCUGGGUUAAAAGGUUGCGUUUCCUCUUAUGCCAGUAAUGGAAUAAGUUGGCAUCUGCGGCGGCGUUGGCGCAUUAACAGAGUUGCCACUGAGAAAUGAGGUCCCAUUGAAGCAUGAGCCACUCACAGGGACACUGGUACUGUUGCCUAUGUUGUGGUUCUGCAUGUUGUUCAUGAUGUCCG